Molecule: long non-coding RNA, 928 nt
Filed under: Homo sapiens (human)
Lineage: Eukaryota; Metazoa; Chordata; Mammalia; Primates; Hominidae
Description: HSALNT0332743
Source: RNAcentral
UCUCAAGAGAUCCACCCACCUCGGCCUCCCAAAGUGCUGGGAUUACCUGCAUGAGCCACUGCACCUGGCUUCAGCCCUUUGUUUUAUCCAAGAGAAGGUCAAGAGCAGAUAAAUUGGAUCUGUGCCCGCAGAGAGAGCCUGCUCCAGCCUCUUUGCUACAGCCUUGAGUCUUCUGCUGUGAUAGGAUGCUAGAGAGGAAAAUUUGGAAUUAGCUUUUAAAAGGAAGAGAAAUGACGGUGUAACCAUCUGCCAAAUACAUGGAAACAACAACAACAAAAACCUCAUCAUUCACCUGGCCUGGCAAAUAGCCUGCAGAUCUGGUUUCUUUUGAAAACAAACCCUAAGUCUGGAACUUUCCAUGCUGAGAGUCCACGUCAGUUUCAAGAAGGCCUGGUAAGAUGUAGCUGAGUAAAAACGAGACUCAAUAUGAAUGAUUACUGCUGUUCUUUCUCACUGGGAAGCCUGGGGACGUCAAGGAUAAAAUGACCUUUUGUACAGUGGUGAUAUUUCUCCAUGUCUCAGCCUUUUUAUCAGCAUAACUAUGGCCAAACCCAGUGCUUUUGUGGAAAACAUUGGUAGCACCGUCAUCUCAGAAGUCUUUAUGUAACUUCCCAUAGUCAUGUCAGAGGAGAUGGGGAUACAAAUCAUCAAACGCUUCUCUUUGGAUUGUGCAAGUCAGCAAAUCAGCUCUGGCGAUUUCCAAAGAGCUAAGACUACCAUCCCUGGGUAUGGUCCCUGAGUCUUCUUUCCCCAUCCUCUACAGCCCCCACUCAAAGAAAGUGCCUCAAACAGAUGGAAUGACGCAGAGGUAGAAUUGCAAACUUCAGAAAUGCAUGCUUAAGAGGGCAGGUGAGCCGGGUGUGGAGGCUUACAUCUGUCUUCCCAGCACUUUGGGAGGCAGAGGAGAGUGGAUUGCUUAAGCCCAGAA